RNAcentral lists this ribosomal RNA (497 nucleotides) under uncultured bacterium. RNAcentral's name for it is "partial 16S ribosomal RNA". It matches the Rfam family "Bacterial small subunit ribosomal RNA", at positions 28 to 507 of the family's 1533-position model. The record is from RNAcentral.
GACGAACGCUGGCGGCGUGCCUAAUACAUGCAAGUUGAGCGCUGAAGGCUGGUACUUGUACCAACUGGGUGAGCAGCGAACGGGUGAGUAACGCGUGGGGAAUCUGCCUUUGAGCGGGGGACAACAUUUGGAAACGAAUGCUAAUACCGCAUAAAAACUUUAAACACAAGUUUUAAGUUUGAAAGAUGCAAUUGCAUCACUCAAAGAUGAUCCCGCGUUGUAUUAGCUAGUUGGUGAGGUACAGGCUCACCAAGGCGAGGUUACAUAGCCGACCUGAGAGGGUGAUCGGCCACAUUGGGACGGUGACACGGCCCAAACGCAUACGGGAGGCAGCAGUAGGGAAUCGUCGGCAAGGGACGAAAGUCUGACCGAGCAACGCGGCGUGAGGAAGGAAGGUUGUCGGAUCGUAAAACUCUGUUGGUAGAGAAGAACGUUGGUGAGAGUGGAAAGCUCACCAAGUGACGGUAACUACCCAGAAAGGGACGGCUAACUACGUG